This 1603-nucleotide long non-coding RNA is filed under the name Olea europaea subsp. europaea. Lineage: Eukaryota; Viridiplantae; Streptophyta; Magnoliopsida; Lamiales; Oleaceae. The record is from RNAcentral.
UCUGACUUCUCUUUCAAAACUUACACCCAUCUCUUUCUUGAGAAAUCAUCUGCAUGCACCAACAUCAAUGGCUUUGGAGCUCUCCACAAUUUUCCUUUGGGAAACAUCUUUUAGAAAUGCUUUCUAAAGAUACAAGCUUCACAAUUUUGCCUUUCAUCUUUAAUCAUUGGAAUACACUUUACCGUAUUUUUUUUGCAUUACAAGGUUAGUCCUUUGAAAUUAAGGUAUCCAAAUCUUCGAUACCAAAGAAAAGAAUCAUCAGUAACUACAUCAAAGGCAUUAACAGGAACUUUUAAAAACACAAGUGGAAAGAUCUUAUCUACUCCUAUUUAUAGCUGAAUAGAUUAGUUGCAUGCUCCUUUUAUCAAAUAUCAAGCAUUCAUCAACAUCGAAUACAACGUAAUAGUCUUUCUUCAAUAACUGGCAACCACUAAUUAGGUUAUGAGCUAAUCCAGGCACAUACAAAGCAUCAUGUAACAGUUUCUUUCCAAACUUUGACAUUACAGCAAUUGUACCCAUUCCACAUACCUGAACUUGACUGUUGUUUCCCAUCCUGACUUUUGUCUUCACGGAUUCAUCAAUCUCUUCAAAGAAUUAUUUGUUGCUAGUUACAUGAUUGCUCCCCAUACUUAUCACCAUGAGCAAAUGUGUAAGCAAGAAAUAAAUUUUCAUCAGAACCAUUUUCUUUUCCUGGGAAUUGGUAUUGUUUGCAACAUUUUUAGAACAGUUUUUCUCAAUAUGACCGUAUCGCUUGCAAUAAUAGCAUUGGGGAUGAUUUUGUUUUGGCCAUACUUCUCCUUAUACCAACAAUCUUUAUCAUCGUGGUUUGAUCUUCUACAAUAUGAGCAAGAAUUAGAAUUGUUACCUCCAUUUGAGUUCCUUUUUUGACCAUUGCUCAUUCUUCUACCUCUUCCUCUUACACAAGAUGAUCUUCCAUGACCUCGACUAGAGUUCCAUUGACUAGACUCAUCUAAUUUCUUCUUCAAAUCAAGUUUUGAUUGAAAGGCUUGCUGAAUAGGGUCUCUACCAUUCUGCUGAUGCACUGCUCAUGUGCUUGAAGUGACCCCAUUAAUUCAUUCAGAGAAUAAUUGGAUAAAUCCUUCGAUUCUUUUAUUACAGCAACAACAUGAUCAAAUUUGGGAGAAAGGCAUCGUAAAACUCUCUCAACAAGCUUUUGGUCUAUCAAUUCUUCUCCGAGAGAUUUAAUCUGAUUCACCACUAACUAGCUUUCGAAAAAAAUUCUUGAACCGAUUCUGAUGGCUUCAUCUGCGAAUUCUCGAAUUUCCUAUGCAUGGUUUGCAGCUUCUAGUAAUCGCUUUGUUUAUUCUUUGAUACUCCAUUUCAAGUAAGUACCAUGCUUCUUUCGAUGUUGUAGUAGCCAUAACUCAUGGAAAAAUGGCAUCAUUUAGUGCUUGCUGAAUUAAGACUAGGGCUUUGGCAUCCUUCUUUUGCUUUUCUUUCAACUCAUUAGGUUGAGCAGCAAUUAGCCUCUCUACAUCUGUAAGACCAUCAAAACCAUUGUCAACCAGGUCCCAUAUAUCAUAGGACAGAAAUAGAGUCCUCAUCUUGAUAUGCCAAAACUGGUAGUUAAGUCCUGUAAAGA